Molecule: RNA transcript, 1568 nt
Organism: Brienomyrus brachyistius
Lineage: Eukaryota; Metazoa; Chordata; Actinopteri; Osteoglossiformes; Mormyridae
Exons: 9
Source: RefSeq, a predicted model, not a curated record
GCCCGCAUCGGGAACGCGCCCGUCUGAGGUGGCGGUCGGCGUGCUCGGCAGAACCAGCUGAAAUGGCGGCGACCAGAACAUGGAGGUUUUCCCAUAUGUCGCUGCUGCGCGCCCUCCCGCAUCUUACAAGGUCUUCAGUCCUGGCUAAGCACCUCCCGUACUCCGGGUGCGCCGUACAGAGCUGCACCAAAUCACUGCUGCGGUGUAGGGCCGCUGUCAGCCUACUGCCAGUGCGGCAGCUGCAUGUUCAGACGCAGGACACACCCAACCCCAGGAGCCUGAAAUUUCUGCCUGGCAGAGCUGUCCUGGGCACCGGGACGCUGAGCUUCUCCAGUGCUGGUCAUGCCAAGAGCUCACCGCUGGCCAGUGAGAUUUUUAAGGUGGAGGGAGUGAAGGCAGUGUUCUUCGGUCCUGACUUCAUCACAGUGACAAAGAGGGAUGAUGACGUGGAAUGGGCCGACAUCAAGCGCGGCGUCAUCGGGGCUGUGACGGAAUUCUUUCAGAGUGGAAACCCUAUAACUACGGGGGAGACGGACACACACAGCGCUCCUUUGGAAGAGGAUGAAGAUGAAGUGGUGUCUAUGAUCAAAGAGCUGCUGGACACCAGGAUCAGGCCCACGGUGCAGGAGGAUGGCGGUGAUGUCAUCUUCAAGGGCUUUGAGGAGGGCACGGUGCGGCUCAAGCUACUGGGCUCCUGCACGGGCUGCCCCAGCUCCACGCGGACGCUGAAAAGCGGCAUCGAGAACAUGCUGCAGUUCUACAUCCCCGAGGUGGACCACGUGGAGCAGGUGGAGGAUGAAGUGGAUGAAAUCAGCAACAAGGUGUUCAGCGAGCUGGAUCGCAAGUUAAACGACUCGUAGCCUUUUAUUUUUUUCCUCGAAAAUAGGACUGUUGUGAUCUUGCUGUUUAUGUUGCACAUAUUUUGGUUGUGGACUGGCAUCCCAUCUAAGGUGUUCCCCCGCCUGGACGCUGCCCUGGCUGGGGUCCAGCUACUCCCAGCCUUCCCCUGGACCUUGAGCAGGAUAAGCAGUUGAAAGGUUCAGGAACAGGAAGACCCUGCAGUGCAUCAUCAGGACAGCCCAGCGCAUCACUGGCACCCAGCUUCCAUCACUGGAAGAAAUCCAUCGCACCCGGUGCAGCCGCAGAGCUGAGAAAAUAAUCAAGGACCCAACCCACCCUGGACACAGACUCUUUACACCUCUGCCAUCUGAUAGACGCUAUAGAACCCUGAACAUAUGCAGAACCUGGCUGAGGAACAGUUCUUACCCCACAUCUAUCACACUUCUGAAUUCUCAGCACUGAUCUCAAACAUUCUCGAGCAGUACCCCACAUGUGCAUCUUCCAUAUUUAUGUGCAUUUAGUCCACUUGAAAACUCUACCUCUGUGAACUUGCUUAUCAGCACGUUAUUGUGUAUGUGUGUGUAUAGUGUCCAUAUACAUCUCCCAUACUAUUUAUCAGAAUAAAUCUCAGAAUCUAUUUAAUAGUAAAUAUACUGUAUAUCUACUGGCGUGUUCCAAACUAAAUCUCAUUGUACUUACAAUGACAAUAAAGCAUCUAUCUAUCUUCA